This 1994-nucleotide ribosomal RNA is filed under the name Pholcus phalangioides (longbodied cellar spider). Its description in RNAcentral is "eukaryotic LSU rRNA". It matches the Rfam family "Eukaryotic large subunit ribosomal RNA", at positions 52 to 1892 of the family's 3401-position model. Lineage: Eukaryota; Metazoa; Arthropoda; Arachnida; Araneae; Pholcidae. The record is from RNAcentral.
GGAGGAAGAGAAACCAACUGGGAUUCCCUUAGUAACGGCGAGCGAACAGGGAAGCGUCCAUCGCCGAACCCCACGUCGCUGCGGCGUCGGGAAUGUGGCGUUAGGGAGGGAGCGUUCGCGAGUUCCGAGCGUGCAGCAAGUCCCCUUGACUGGGGCUGUUUUCCAGGGAGGGUGUCAGGCCCGUGGUUGCCGCCUCGUGCUCGUGAAGCUGCCUCCCCAGAGUCGGGUUGCUUGGGAGUGCAGCCCCAAGAGGGUGGUAGACUCCAUCUAAGACUAAAUACGGCCGCGAGACCGAUAGCGAACAAGUACCGUGAGGGAAAGUUGAAAAGGACUUUGAAGAGAGAGUUCAAGAGUGCGUGAAACUGCUCGGAGGCAAACGGGUGGGCCCUCGAACGGUCCUCGCCCGAUGGUUCGGUCGGAGAGGCGCGAGCCCGUUGGCGAGGCGGGUUCCGUAAAGGACCCCUCCGCUUUCGUGGCGCUCGAGUCUUCCGGUGCAUUCCAUCCGGUAUGGACGUCGCAGCCGGUUGGGCGUGGUCAGCCUGAAGAGCGGGCUAGGCAGGUGGCAGUGGAGUCUCCCCGCUGUGUCUAGCCGGCUCGUUCGUGGCGUGAUCCCCGACCGAGGAUGACGUCUUCCUCUUUGGGAGAUUUGCCGUGCUCUCGCCUCUGCGAGCGGGAUUUCCCGCGGUGAGCGUACGCGGCUGGCGACAUCGGUCACCCACCUGACCCGUCUUGAAACACGGACCAAGGAGUCUAACAUGUGCGCGAGUCAGUGGGACUCGAACAAGCCCACGGGCAGAACGAAAGCGAUCGGUCGGGAUCCGCACUGCUCGCAGUGUGGCGCACCGACGGCCCGACGCCUGUAUAGGCGAUCGGAGCGUGAGCGUACACGUUGGGACCCGAAAGACGGUGAACUAUUCCCGGGUAGGAUGAAGCCGGGGGAAACUCCGGUGGAGGUCCGCAGCGGUUCUGACGUGCAAUUCGAUCGUCGAACCCGGGUAUAGGGGCGAAAGACUAAUCGAACCGUCUAGUAGCUGGUUCCCUCCGAAGUUUCCCGCAGGAUAGCUGGCGCUCGAGCAGUCGCGUCCGGUAAAGCGAAUGAUUAGAGGCCUCGGGGUCGAAACGUCCUCGACCUAUUCUCAAACUUUAAAUGGGCGAGACGCCGGGCUUUCGGACUCGAAGCCCGGUCACGGAUGAGAGUGCCCAGUGGGCCACUUUUGGUAAGCAGAACUGGCGCAGCGGGAUGAACCGGACGUCUGGCUAAGGCACCCGAUGCGACGCUCAUGAGAUUGAAAGGUGUUUAUCGCUUAAAACAUCGGGUAGGUGGCCAUGGAAGUCGGAAUCCUCUAAGGAGUGUGUAACAACUCACCCGCCGAAGCGAUAGGCCCUGAAAAUGGAAGGUGCUUAAGCGUCGGAGCCCACGCCAGACCGCUGCGGCAGACAGAGUUUAUGUCGCGGCGAGUAGGAGGGUCGCGGCGGAGGGCGUCGAAGGGGAGUGGCGCGAGCACCCCCGGAGCCUCCGCCGGCGCAGAUCUUGGUGGUAGUAGCAAAUACUCGAGUGAGAACCUCGAGGACCGAAGUGGAGAAGGGUUCCGCGCGAACGGCAUUCGGACGCGGGUGAGUCGGUCCUGAGGGAUAGGAGAAAUCCGUUCCGAUGCCGGGAAUCUCUCCCGGCCUGACCGAAAGGGAAAGGGGUUAAGAUUCCCCUACCCGGAUGCGGAGAUCGGGACCUCGCGUCCCUAACGCGGCGACGCAACCGAGCUCGGAUACGUCGACGGGAGUCCCGGGAAGAGUUGUCUUUUCUUCGCAAGGGUUCGAGUCCCUGGAAUCGGGUCGUCCGGAGAUAGGGUCGAAGUGCCCGAGAAGCGUCGCGUCUCUUGCGACGUCCGGUGCGCUCCCGUCGACCCUUGAAAAUCCGAGGGAGGAGUUGUGAUUUUCGCACCGGGCCGUACCCAUAUCCGCAGCAGGUCUCCGAGGUGAACAGCCUCUCGUCGACG